Molecule: long non-coding RNA, 220 nt
Filed under: Helianthus annuus (common sunflower)
Lineage: Eukaryota; Viridiplantae; Streptophyta; Magnoliopsida; Asterales; Asteraceae
Description: hypothetical non coding rna
Rfam family: Small nucleolar RNA Z43 (bases 119-220)
Source: RNAcentral
GGAGUUCAGAUGAUGAUCAAUUGCAUAGUUCAAAUGAAUGUUUGUGAUUAGAAAAGUUUUAGUCUUUCCGAUGAACUCACAUUUUUUUUAUGUUUUUUAAUUUAAUAAUGAUUUAGUGAGAUAAUGACGACUCCAUGUGAUAAGGUCUCGUUCGACGUAAUGGUGAUUAACAGUCACCUUGCCGACCAUCCUGUUAUAUCACCACCCAUAAACUGAAUCC